Molecule: ribosomal RNA, 464 nt
Filed under: uncultured bacterium
Lineage: Bacteria
Description: bacterial SSU rRNA
Rfam family: Bacterial small subunit ribosomal RNA
Source: RNAcentral
GGGCCCGCACAAGCGGAGGAACAUGUGGUUUAAUUCGAUGAUACGCGAGGAACCUUACCCGGGCUUGAACUGCAGGGGAACGAUACAGAGAUGUUGAGGUCAGCAAUGACCCCUGUGGAGGUGCUGCAUGGUUGUCGUCAGCUCGUGCCGUGAGGUGUCGGCUUAAGUGCCAUAACGAGCGCAACCCCUUUCGCCAGUUACCAUCACUUCGGGUGGGGACUCUGGCGACACUGCCACCGUAAGGUGCGAGGAAGGUGGGGAUGACGUCAAAUCAGCACGGCCCUUACGUCCGGGGCUACACACGUGUUACAAUGGGUGGUACAGAGAGUCGGCCUGUGGCAACACCGGUCCAAUCCUUAAAGCCAUCCUCAGUUCGGAUUGGGGUCUGCAACCCGACCCCAUGAAGCUGGAUUCGCUAGUAAUCGCGCAUCAGCCAUGGCGCGGUGAAUACGUUCCCGGGCCUU